Culex quinquefasciatus (southern house mosquito) is the source of this 437-nucleotide long non-coding RNA. RefSeq lists it as uncharacterized. The record is from RefSeq and is a predicted model, not a curated record. The transcript has 3 exons. Lineage: Eukaryota; Metazoa; Arthropoda; Insecta; Diptera; Culicidae.
AGUGCCUACUCCUGCGGUAUCUUUCGUUUUCACACAUCACAGAGUUGUGAAAUUAAUUUUCGACUUUUUUUUGGUGCUUAUUGAAAUAGGUCAUCGACGAGAUUAAUCAUUAGUUGGAUGGUCGGGUAAAUCGUCGACGGAAGUUCCUACCAGAGUUUGCAAUUAUGAACUUCUUACGAUUAACUUCUGGAGAAGUGGUCCGGCCAUCUUCGUGCCAGUUCCUGUUUCGGUUCGAGACGUGCCUUCUGGUAUUAUAAGUUGAGUCGAUUGGCCGGAAUGGAGCAAAAACGCAUGCACUACGACCCGCAGGCUUCCAUUUGACCGGCAGCUCGGUUCUUUUCUGACAGUUUGGGAACCUCCGGAGACAUACAAAGACGUUACCAAGAUUUCGUCCACGCAACGAGAGGUUGAAGCGGAGCCAGCAUCGAACGAUACUG